GCGCACGGUGUGAGCUGGUCACAUGAGGUGCAGUGUGAUAGUGGAAGACACUGCAUACCAUGUGAUCUCGCUACACGGUGCA
This 82-nucleotide microRNA precursor is filed under the name Ornithorhynchus anatinus (platypus). Its description in RNAcentral is "microRNA oan-mir-1421ak precursor". It matches the Rfam family "mir-1421 microRNA precursor family". The record is from miRBase by way of RNAcentral. Lineage: Eukaryota; Metazoa; Chordata; Mammalia; Monotremata; Ornithorhynchidae.